CAUCCAUCCAUCCAUCCCUCCUUCCCUCCCUCCAUCGGGGUGUGAUUGUGGCACCUUUAACUGAAUUUACAAUCAUCUCGGCACAAACACACAACACCUCUCCUAUUCAGAAAGUUAUUAGCCCAGAGAAUGUUCUGGAUUAAUUCCGAAACCCGCAUACCGGCACAGAAAUAGGCUUUCUGAAUGGAGAGAAAUAGACUCUCUCUCUCUCUCUCACGCUCACUCUUUUUCUCUCUCACUUCCUUCAUUAUUUUGGCGAUUGAAUAUCUCUGCCUACCAACCAAGAUCUGCCUAUGCCUCUGCGAGAUAAUGAAACAAUUAUGACCGUGCGCCGGCGUAUCCUGGCAUUAACUAAACUGUCAUCUAACUAAAUGCGUUUUAUGUUUGCUGUGGGUUAUUAAGCAUCGCUGUAACAUGGCCAUAAUUUAUGCAUUGGAUAUUUGACAAGUGUGAAGAAUAAACGCGUUUAUUUUCUCCGGAGCCCUCUCCAUGGAUGAACAUUCCUCCUUUUUUGAGGAUCAAAUCCCUCGCUUCCUCCUUCCUGCUCCUUUUAGCAGCAGAUCUCUGGGGCGUCUCGUCCUCCAUUAUUUACUUCUGUCUCGCUCUGUCUCUAAUUUGGUUCUGUUUGUCUCAAACUGUGAUUAGAAGGAGGAGUAAGGGGGGGGGGAGUGUGUCAUGAGGCUACUGAAGCCUUGUUAGUUGUCUGUAUUGGGUCACAGCACUGGAAUUCAGACUAAUCAUGGACAGACUGUGUGAGAGACCGGUCCUCUUAUAUAGUGUUUCAUGGCCAUUUCAUUAAAAAACAAUGUUAGCUGCUGUUAGACAUCAUACACCUCUUAUACCUUCAUUAGCAAAAUUAUUAGUAUAUUAUUAUUAUUACUAUAUUAUUAACUUUCUUUUUAGACACACACUAAAGGUGCACACAAUAUUUCUGCAUAUUAUGUCCAGAACAUGAUUAAAGACUGUGAUAAUAUGCAGUACACGUUCAUUUCUCCGUGGUACUGCAUACUAAUACAGGUGUCUUGUAUUCGACGUAUUAUUACAGUGGUGCGGAACACACAGCUGACGUCACCCUCGUUACACUCGUUAAGAGUGUUUGGUUAAGGCUUUAUUUUGCCCAAAAUUAUUUUUAUUUAUUGGACCACAUGAACGCCAAAGAAGUCCCUUUUAUCUCAUGUUGCUAGAAGUGGCAUUUGGGAUUGGCAGAAUUUUUGGCCCAGGGCUCUUUACCAUUCAGCUGGUCCCAGCAUCUUUUGCUAAGAGUUCCUGCCAAGCGCUAGACAAACCACAACUUAUCCCCUUAAUAAACAAGUAAACAAGUAAGCAUUUGCGUCAGACAUUAGUAUACAAACGGCACCGUUACAAAGCAAAGGGUUUGGCUAUAUCUUAGACUUUUAAAAGCCUACUGCUUUAAUUGGCGCUUCAGAGUCGUGUGGGCAGAGAUCACGUCUGAUUCACUUCCACCAAAUGCCUACACUUGAAGCUGAAACAUCUUUUGGUUUUGACACGAGGUCAAAGGUUAAGGACUCAGGACACCCACAAAUUCCAUUAAGGAGACUCAACUUGUCUAGUGUCAUGCAAGAGUUUGUCUUAAAAGCUUUUGGAGACAUUUCUCUGUGUUCUGUGUGGGGUUUUUUUUUUAAAUCGCAGCUGAAAUCUUUUCUUUUCUUUUUUUUUGCUGCACAAAGUUUCACUUUAAAGCGCCUUUUAAUCAAUGUGUGAUCAUGUAAACUUCACUGAUGAUAUUUUUUCAAACUUUUCACUGCCUUAAAUGAUAUAAUAACGCUUGUGAUGAAGUCGGACUUUUGUAGGAGUUUGCCGAAGUUAGCGGUUUGGAAAGUCGAAUUUCGAACACGUUCAGCAAAUACCUGAAAUGUCCACACCCAAACCAGAGGAAUGAGCGCCACGACACCUGAGCGCCUGAACUGACAGCUAACUACAGAAGCCACCUCACCUCAAUAUCCUGAUUAUAUUGAUGUUGGUGGUCCAUAUCUUUUAUUUCUACCAUUUCUGAAAACCGAGGUGCCCCAGAUGAGCAGAUAUUUCAUUUUUUUAGCUGCCAGAAAGUGAAGUGAAUAGAAUUCCACUCCACAAAGUCUACAGAUAUUUUUAUUUAAAAUGUAUCCAUGACAACUUUAAAGCUAAAAUCAGUGUUUCUUCUUCUGUAGCCCGAGUAGAGCUGGUUAGUCAUAUGUUUGACCGCAUGGGUUAAAAUGAGGAGUCCUGUCCACACACAAUCGUAUACAUAUGUUUGGGGGGGAAAAUAAGUCUUUUAUUCAUGAUAAAGUGCUCAGUGCAUGUGAACAGCUACAGAAAGCAAACCUCAGGACUCGGGUCAGCAAUACGGUAACGAUGCUGAAUAAUUCAUAAACAGAUUUAUAAAAACCUUCAGUUCCUCCGUGUAAUAUUUCUACGUUUUAAUAUUUGUUGAUUUAGGAGGCUCCUGAACGAUACGCUUUCCUUCUUUCUGCUUCUCAUUGGUCACUUCUUCGGAUUCACUCACAUCAGAUACGGUAACUCGCCCGAGCAGUUUUACUCAGAUUGAUCGGACAGUAGACUGAAUGUAUGUCUGUGUGUUGUUUUUCUGAUGACAGGCUAGAGAUGACGAGAUGAUGGGUGAACCUUUCAGACAGUCAGAAUGAGUGUGUGUGUGUGUGUGUGUGUGAACACACACACUUUAACUUGAGUCCCCCUUAAAGUCCUCCUCAUCCAACACCCCUCAACCCUCUCUACCCCCCACAGAAAAAAAAGGAGGUAGAAAAGAAAAAAGAGAGAGCUGGCAUUGAAGAAAGAGACACAGCCUACUCACCCUCUCUCACCCUCUCUCUCUCUCUCUCUCUCUCUUUCAGCCCGCUGCGAGACUGCAGCUUCUCCUCCUCUUUCUCUCGCUUCGCUCCCUUUCUUUUCGGGCCCCUCUCACACGCAGAGCCGACACAAAAACGUGAACAGGACCGUUCGGGUUUUCAUCGUUUGUCUCCUCAGCUAUUUCUCCCCGAGCUUUUGUCCCCCUCCCCUUUGUCCACACCGGCCCGGAGGAGAAGAAGAAGAAGUCGAAUAAGUAGAAGGAAAAAAGUGCACACACACAUCCACACAAAGGGCUUCUCUUCCCUGCGAUCCUCGGUCCCCUUCAGCAUCUAGACGCUAGGACAACAUCAAAGCAACUUAGGGGGAACACUUGAGGGGCCUAUUGUCUCCGGUCUGAUCUGUUUUUCUUGCCGCCGUCCCCCCCUGUCGUUUCGCCUGCACUUGGUACGGUCCAGGCAUUCACGCCAAGUAGCUUUCACACAUGCAGGGGGAGGCUUGUCUCAGGCAAUUGCUGACAAGCUACAAACAAGGCG
This is a long non-coding RNA of Ictalurus punctatus (channel catfish), 3338 nucleotides long. Lineage: Eukaryota; Metazoa; Chordata; Actinopteri; Siluriformes; Ictaluridae. The record is from Ensembl.